AUUGAACGCUGGCGGCAGGCCUAACACAUGCAAGUCGAGCGGUAGAGAGGUGCUUGCAUCUCUUGAGAGCGGCGGACGGGUGAGUAAUGCCUAGGAAUCUGCCCUAGUGGUGGGGGAUAACGUUCGGAAACGGACGCUAAUACCGCAUACGUCCUACGGGAGAAAGCGGGGGAUCUUCGGACCUCGCGCCAUUAGAUGAGCCUAGGUCGGAUUAGCUAGUUGGUGAGGUAAUGGCUCACCAAGGCGACGAUCCGUAACUGGUCUGAGAGGAUGAUCAGUCACACUGGAACUGAGACACGGUCCAGACUCCUACGGG
Molecule: ribosomal RNA, 316 nt
Filed under: uncultured bacterium
Lineage: Bacteria
Description: bacterial SSU rRNA
Rfam family: Bacterial small subunit ribosomal RNA
Source: RNAcentral